Molecule: ribosomal RNA, 490 nt
Filed under: uncultured bacterium
Lineage: Bacteria
Description: partial 16S ribosomal RNA
Rfam family: Bacterial small subunit ribosomal RNA
Source: RNAcentral
AUUGAACGCUGGCGGCAGGCCUAACACAUGCCAGUCGAACGGUAACAGGAGGAAGCUUGCUUCUUUGCUGACGAGUGGCGGACGGGUGAGUAAUGUCUGGGAAACUGCCUGAUGGAGGGGGAUAACUACUGGAAACGGUAGCUAAUACCGCAUAACGUCGCAAGACCAAAGAGGGGGACCUUCGGGCCUCUUGCCAUCGGAUGUGCCCAGAUGGGAUUAGCUAGUAGGUGGGGUAACGGCUCACCUAGGCGACGAUCCCUAGCUGGUCUGAGAGGAUGACCAGCCACACUGGAACUGAGACACGGUCCAGACUCCUACGGGAGGCAGCAGUGGGGAAUAUUGCACAAUGGGCGCAAGCCUGAUGCAGCCAUGCCGCGUGUAUGAAGAAGGCCUUCGGGUUGUAAAGUACUUUCAGCGGGGAGGAAGGGAGUAAAGUUAAUACCUUUGCUCAUUGACGUUACCCGCAGAAGAAGCACCGGCUAACUCCGUG